AUUAAACGCUGGCGGCAUGCCUUACACAUGCAAGUCGAACGGCAGCACGGGAGCAAUCCUGGUGGCGAGUGGCGAACGGGUGAGUAAAGUAUCGGAACGUGCCCAGUCGUGGGGGAUAACGUAGCGAAAGUUACGCUAAUACCGCAUACGAUCUAUGGAUGAAAGCGGGGGAUCGCAAGACCUCGCGCGAUUGGAGCGGCCGGUAUCAGAUUAGGUAGGUGGUGGGGUAAAGGCUCACCAAGCCGACGAUCUGUAGCUGGUCCGAGAGGACGACCAGCCACACUGGGACUGAGACACGGCCCAGACUCCUACGGGAGGCAGCAGUGGGGAAUUUUGGACAAUGGGCGAAAGCCUGAUCCAGCCAUGCCGCGUGCAGGAUGAAGGUCUUCGGGUUGUAAACUGCUUUUGUACGGAACGAAAAGGUUUGGCCUAAUAAGCUGAGCUCAUGACGGUACCGUAAGAAUAAGCACCGGCUAACUACGUGCCAGCCGCCGCCGUAA
Molecule: ribosomal RNA, 500 nt
Filed under: uncultured bacterium
Lineage: Bacteria
Description: partial 16S ribosomal RNA
Rfam family: Bacterial small subunit ribosomal RNA
Source: RNAcentral